GACGAACGCUGGCGGCGCGCCUAACACAUGCAAGUCGAACGAGCGAGAGAGAGCUUGCUUUCUCAAGCGAGUGGCGAACGGGUGAGUAACGCGUGAGGAACCUGCCUCAAAGAGGGGGACAACAGUUGGAAACGACUGCUAAUACCGCAUAAGCCCACAGGUCGGCCUCGACCAGAGGGAAAAGGAGCAAUCCGCUUUGAGAUGGCCUCGCGUCCGAUUAGCUAGUUGGUGAGGUAACGGCCCACCAAGGCAACGAUCGGUAGCCGGACUGAGAGGUUGAACGGCCACAUUGGGACUGAGACACGGCCCAGACUCCUACGGGAGGCAGCAGUGGGGAAUAUUGCACAAUGGGGGAAACCCUGAUGCAGCGACGCCGCGUGGAGGAAGAAGGUCUUCGGAUUGUAAACUCCUGUUGUUGAGGAAGAUAAUGACGGUACUCAACAAGGAAGUGACGGCUAACUACGUG
RNAcentral lists this ribosomal RNA (466 nucleotides) under uncultured bacterium. Its description in RNAcentral is "partial 16S ribosomal RNA". It matches the Rfam family "Bacterial small subunit ribosomal RNA", at positions 28 to 507 of the family's 1533-position model. The record is from RNAcentral.